RNAcentral lists this ribosomal RNA (2787 nucleotides) under Salmonella enterica subsp. enterica serovar Virchow. RNAcentral's name for it is "partial 23S ribosomal RNA". It matches the Rfam family "Bacterial large subunit ribosomal RNA". Lineage: Bacteria; Pseudomonadati; Pseudomonadota; Gammaproteobacteria; Enterobacterales; Enterobacteriaceae. The record is from RNAcentral.
GGGUUGUGAGGUUAAGCGACUAAGCGUACACGGUGGAUGCCCUGGCAGUCAGAGGCGAUGAAGGGCGUGCUAAUCUGCGAUAAGCGCCGGUAAGGUGAUAUGAACCGUUAUAACCGGCGAUACCCGAAUGGGGAAACCCAGUGUGAUUCGUCACACUAUCAUUAACUGAAUCCAUAGGUUAAUGAGGCGAACCGGGGGAACUGAAACAUCUAAGUACCCCGAGGAAAAGAAAUCAACCGAGAUUCCCCCAGUAGCGGCGAGCGAACGGGGAGGAGCCCAGAGCCUGAAUCAGCAUGUGUGUUAGUGGAAGCGUCUGGAAAGGCGCGCGAUACAGGGUGACAGCCCCGUACACAAAAGCGCAUGUGCUGUGAGCUCGAUGAGUAGGGCGGGACACGUGGUAUCCUGUCUGAAUAUGGGGGGACCAUCCUCCAAGGCUAAAUACUCCUGACUGACCGAUAGUGAACCAGUACCGUGAGGGAAAGGCGAAAAGAACCCCGGCGAGGGGAGUGAAAAAGAACCUGAAACCGUGUACGUACAAGCAGUGGGAGCACCCUUUGGGGUGUGACUGCGUACCUUUUGUAUAAUGGGUCAGCGACUUAUAUUCUGUAGCAAGGUUAACCGUAUAGGGGAGCCGUAGGGAAACCGAGUCUUAACCGGGCGUUAAGUUGCAGGGUAUAGACCCGAAACCCGGUGAUCUAGCCAUGGGCAGGUUGAAGGUUGGGUAACACUAACUGGAGGACCGAACCGACUAAUGUUGAAAAAUUAGCGGAUGACCUGUGGCUGGGGGUGAAAGGCCAAUCAAACCGGGAGAUAGCUGGUUCUCCCCGAAAGCUAUUUAGGUAGCGCCUCGUGAAUUCAUCUCCGGGGGUAGAGCACUGUUUCGGCUAGGGGGCCAUCCCGGCUUACCAACCCGAUGCAAACUGCGAAUACCGGAGAAUGUUAUCACGGGAGACACACGGCGGGUGCUAACGUCCGUCGUGAAGAGGGAAACAACCCAGACCGCCAGCUAAGGUCCCAAAGUCAUGGUUAAGUGGGAAACGAUGUGGGAAGGCCCAGACAGCCAGGAUGUUGGCUUAGAAGCAGCCAUCAUUUAAAGAAAGCGUAAUAGCUCACUGGUCGAGUCGGCCUGCGCGGAAGAUGUAACGGGGCUAAACCAUGCACCGAAGCUGCGGCAGCGACGCUGAUGCGUUGUUGGGUAGGGGAGCGUUCUGUAAGCCUGUGAAGGUGGCCUGUGAGGGUUGCUGGAGGUAUCAGAAGUGCGAAUGCUGACAUAAGUAACGAUAAAGCGGGUGAAAAGCCCGCUCGCCGGAAGACCAAGGGUUCCUGUCCAACGUUAAUCGGGGCAGGGUGAGUCGACCCCUAAGGCGAGGCCGAAAGGCGUAGUCGAUGGGAAACGGGUUAAUAUUCCCGUACUUGGUGUUACUGCGAAGGGGGGACGGAGAAGGCUAUGUUGGCCGGGCGACGGUUGUCCCGGUUUAAGCGUGUAGGUGUGUGUUCCAGGUAAAUCCGGUUCACUUUAACACUGAGGCGUGACGACGAGGCACUACGGUGCUGAAGCAACAAAUGCCCUGCUUCCAGGAAAAGCCUCUAAGCAUCAGGUAACAUCAAAUCGUACCCCAAACCGACACAGGUGGUCAGGUAGAGAAUACCAAGGCGCUUGAGAGAACUCGGGUGAAGGAACUAGGCAAAAUGGUGCCGUAACUUCGGGAGAAGGCACGCUGACACGUAGGUGAAGUGAUUUACUCAUGGAGCUGAAGUCAGUCGAAGAUACCAGCUGGCUGCAACUGUUUAUUAAAAACACAGCACUGUGCAAACACGAAAGUGGACGUAUACGGUGUGACGCCUGCCCGGUGCCGGAAGGUUAAUUGAUGGGGUCAGCGCAAGCGAAGCUCCUGAUCGAAGCCCCGGUAAACGGCGGCCGUAACUAUAACGGUCCUAAGGUAGCGAAAUUCCUUGUCGGGUAAGUUCCGACCUGCACGAAUGGCGUAAUGAUGGCCAGGCUGUCUCCACCCGAGACUCAGUGAAAUUGAACUCGCUGUGAAGAUGCAGUGUACCCGCGGCAAGACGGAAAGACCCCGUGAACCUUUACUAUAGCUUGACACUGAACAUUGAGCCUUGAUGUGUAGGAUAGGUGGGAGGCUUUGAAGUGUGGACGCCAGUCUGCAUGGAGCCGACCUUGAAAUACCACCCUUUAAUGUUUGAUGUUCUAACGUGGACCCGUUACCCGGGUUGCGGACAGUGUCUGGUGGGUAGUUUGACUGGGGCGGUCUCCUCCUAAAGAGUAACGGAGGAGCACGAAGGUUGGCUAAUCCUGGUCGGACAUCAGGAGGUUAGUGCAAUGGCAUAAGCCAGCUUGACUGCGAGCGUGACGGCGCGAGCAGGUGCGAAAGCAGGUCAUAGUGAUCCGGUGGUUCUGAAUGGAAGGGCCAUCGCUCAACGGAUAAAAGGUACUCCGGGGAUAACAGGCUGAUACCGCCCAAGAGUUCAUAUCGACGGCGGUGUUUGGCACCUCGAUGUCGGCUCAUCACAUCCUGGGGCUGAAGUAGGUCCCAAGGGUAUGGCUGUUCGCCAUUUAAAGUGGUACGCGAGCUGGGUUUAGAACGUCGUGAGACAGUUCGGUCCCUAUCUGCCGUGGGCGCUGGAGAACUGAGGGGGGCUGCUCCUAGUACGAGAGGACCGGAGUGGACGCAUCACUGGUGUUCGGGUUGUCAUGCCAAUGGCACUGCCCGGUAGCUAAAUGCGGAAGAGAUAAGUGCUGAAAGCAUCUAAGCACGAAACUUGCCCCGA